This 31-nucleotide non-coding RNA is filed under the name Mus musculus (house mouse). The record is from RNAcentral. Lineage: Eukaryota; Metazoa; Chordata; Mammalia; Rodentia; Muridae.
UAAUAGCAAGAGCCCAGCCCUCCUAGUUGGA